RNAcentral lists this ribosomal RNA (429 nucleotides) under Bacteroidota bacterium. RNAcentral describes it as "Bacteroidetes bacterium partial 16S ribosomal RNA". It matches the Rfam family "Bacterial small subunit ribosomal RNA", at positions 355 to 776 of the family's 1533-position model. Lineage: Bacteria; Pseudomonadati; Bacteroidota. The record is from RNAcentral.
UAGGGAAUCUUCCGCAAUGGACGCAAGUCUGACGGAGCAACGCCGCGUGAGUGAAGAAGGAUUUCGGUUCGUAAAACUCUGUUGUUAGAGAAGAACAGCGCAUAGAGUAACUGUUAUGCGUGUGACGGUAUCUAACCAGAAAGCCACGGCUAACUACGUGCCAGCAGCCGCGGUAAUACGUAGGUGGCAAGCGUUGUCCGGAUUUAUUGGGCGUAAAGCGAGCGCAGGCGGUCAAUUAAGUCUGAUGUGAAAGCCCCCGGCUCAACCGGGGAGGGUCAUUGGAAACUGGUUGACGUGAGUGCAGAAGAGGAGAGUGGAAUUCCAUGUGUAGCGGUGAAAUGCGUAGAUAUAUGGAGGAACACCAGUGGCGAAGGCGACUCUCUGGUCUGUAACUGACGCUGAGGCUCGAAAGCGUGGGUAGCAAACAGG